Molecule: ribosomal RNA, 253 nt
Filed under: uncultured bacterium
Lineage: Bacteria
Description: partial 16S ribosomal RNA
Rfam family: Bacterial small subunit ribosomal RNA
Source: RNAcentral
UACGUAGGUGGCAAGCGUUAUCCGGAAUUAUUGGGCGUAAAGAGCGCGCAGGUGGUUAAUUAAGUCUGAUGUGAAAGCCCACGGCUUAACCGUGGAGGGUCAUUGGAAACUGGUUGACUUGAGUGCAGAAGAGGGAAGUGGGAUUCCAUGUGUAGCGGUGAAAUGCGUAGAGAUAUGGAGGAACACCAGUGGCGAAGGCGGCUUCCUGGUCUGCAACUGACACUGAGGCGCGAAAGCGUGGGGAGCAAGCAGG